Molecule: ribosomal RNA, 253 nt
Filed under: uncultured bacterium
Lineage: Bacteria
Description: partial 16S ribosomal RNA
Rfam family: Bacterial small subunit ribosomal RNA
Source: RNAcentral
UACGGGGGGGGCAAGCGUUGUUCGGAAUUACUGGGCGUAAAGCGUGCGUAGGUGGUUUGUUAAGUCUGAUGUGAAAGCCCUGGGCUCAACCUGGGAACGGCAUUGGAAACUGGCUUACUAGAGUGCGGUAGAGGGGUGUGGAAUUCCCGGUGUAGCAGUGAAAUGCGUAGAUAUCGGGAGGAACAUCUGUGGCGAAGGCGACACCCUGGACCAGCACUGACACUGAGGCACGAAAGCGUGGGGAGCAAACAGG